This 326-nucleotide long non-coding RNA is filed under the name Pan paniscus (pygmy chimpanzee). RNAcentral describes it as "lncRNA (ENSPPAG00000044770.1)". Lineage: Eukaryota; Metazoa; Chordata; Mammalia; Primates; Hominidae. The record is from RNAcentral.
AUGCUGCAAUCAAGAAUAAAGGUUGUGUCACACCUUUUCCUGAACUUUGGCUCAACUGAAGAAGGAAACUUUCAGGGGAAUUCCAAUAGUAAACAACGGAACCAGCAGUUUUACAAUAAACUGCAGAGCUCCAUUUCAAAACACAAAAAUAGAGCGUCUCUGCAGUGAUGUACUGCCUUAAGGAAGGGUAAGAUUUUUUUCACGGAUGUUACCAAACUUUAAUGAAGUACAUGUUGUCCUCUCCGUGUGUGGAUUUUUGCAUGAUUUCUAUUUUCCAAUGAAGUUCAAGUAAAAUAAUUAGAACAUCACUUAUAUAUAAAAUGCUG